AUUGAACGCUGGCGGCAGGCCUAACACAUGCAAGUCGAACGGUAACAGGAAGAAGCUUGCUUCUUUGCUGACGAGUGGCGGACGGGUGAGUAAUGUCUGGGAAACUGCCUGAUGGAGGGGGAUAACUACUGGAAACGGUAGCUAAUACCGCAUAACGUCGCAAGACCAAAGAGGGGGACCUUCGGGCCUCUUGCCAUCGGAUGUGCCCAGAUGGGAUUAGCUUGUUGGUGGGGUAACGGCUCACCAAGGCGACGAUCCCUAGCUGGUCUGAGAGGAUGGCCAGCCACACUGGAACUGAGACACGGUCCAGACUCCUACGGGAGGCAGCAGUGGGGAAUAUUGCACAAUGGGCGCAAGCCUGAUGCAGCCAUGCCGCGUGUAUGAAGAAGGCCUUCGGGUUGUAAAGUACUUUCAGCGGGGAGGAAGGGAGUAAAGUUAAUACCUUUGCUCAUUGACGUUACCCGCAGAAGAAGCACCGGCUAACUCCGUG
This 490-nucleotide ribosomal RNA is filed under the name uncultured bacterium. RNAcentral's name for it is "partial 16S ribosomal RNA". It matches the Rfam family "Bacterial small subunit ribosomal RNA", at positions 30 to 507 of the family's 1533-position model. The record is from RNAcentral.